RNAcentral lists this unclassified non-coding RNA (331 nucleotides) under uncultured fungus. Its description in RNAcentral is "partial contains small subunit ribosomal RNA, internal transcribed spacer 1, and 5.8S ribosomal RNA". The stretch from base 1 to 73 matches the Rfam family "Eukaryotic small subunit ribosomal RNA", at positions 1759 to 1831 of the family's 1831-position model. The record is from RNAcentral. Lineage: Eukaryota; Fungi.
GCAAACUUGGUCAUUUAGAGGAAGUAAAAGUCGUAACAAGGUUUCCGUAGGUGAACCUGCGGAAGGAUCAUUAGAGAAUCAUUGACGCAGGGUUUUUUUUGCCCUGUGUCAACCCACUCUAUUUCACCCCUUGUGAACUGUCGAUCGGUCGAGAAUGUCCUGCAUUCUUGGUCGAGGGUGUUGCAAUUCGAUUCGAUGUCGACUUGCCACCCGAAUCACCCUUUUGAAAACCAUAGUGUGUUGAAUGGCACGCCACAUGGCGAUUCUCUGAAACACAAAUACAACUUUCAGCAACGGAUCUCUAGGCUCUCGCAUCGAUGAAGAACGCAGC